CUUGUUGGUGGGGUAACGGCCUACCAAGGCUCCGAUCCGUAGCUGGUCUGAGAGGACGAUCAGCCACACUGGGACUGAGACACGGCCCAGACUCCUACGGGAGGCAGCAGUGGGGAAUCUUGCGCAAUGGGCGAAAGCCUGACGCAGCGACGCCGCGUGAGGGAGGAAGGCCUUCGGGUUGUAAACCUCUUUCAGGAGGGACGAAGCUACUCGGGUUAAUAGCCCAGAGGGUGACGGUACCUCCAGAAGAAGCCCCGGCUAACUACGUGCCAGCAGCCGCGGUAAUACGUAGGGGGCAAGCGUUGUCCGGAUUUACUGGGCGUAAAGAGCGUGUAGGCGGCCAAACAGGUCCGUUGUGAAAACUGGAGGCUCAACCUCCAGACGUCGACGGAAACCGUGUGGCUAGAGUCCGGAAGAGGAGAGUGGAAUUCCUGGUGUAGCGGUGAAAUGCGCAGAUAUCAGGAAGAACACCAAUGGCGAAGGCAGCUCUCUGGGACGGUACUGACGCUGAGACGCGAAAGCGUGGGGAGCGAACAGGAUUAGAUACCCUGGUAGUCCACGCCGUAAACGAUGGGUGCUAGGUGUGGGAGGUGUCGACUCCUUCCGUGCCGUAGCUAACGCAUUAAGCACCCCGCCUGGGGAGUACGGCCGCAAGGCUAAAACUCAAAGGAAUUGACG
RNAcentral lists this ribosomal RNA (678 nucleotides) under uncultured Actinomycetes bacterium. RNAcentral describes it as "SSU rRNA". It matches the Rfam family "Bacterial small subunit ribosomal RNA", at positions 245 to 915 of the family's 1533-position model. The record is from RNAcentral. Lineage: Bacteria; Bacillati; Actinomycetota; Actinomycetes.